RNAcentral lists this ribosomal RNA (701 nucleotides) under uncultured bacterium. RNAcentral's name for it is "bacterial SSU rRNA". It matches the Rfam family "Bacterial small subunit ribosomal RNA", at positions 59 to 762 of the family's 1533-position model. The record is from RNAcentral.
CAGUCGAGCGAACACUUAAGUCUGAUUCUUCGGAUGAAGACUUUUGUGACUGAGCGGCGGACGGGUGAGUAACGCGUGGGUAACCUGCCUCAUACAGGGGGAUAACAGUUAGAAAUGACUGCUAAUACCGCAUAAGACCACGGUACCGCAUGGUACAGUGGUAAAAACUCCGGUGGUAUGAGAUGGACCCGCGUCUGAUUAGGUAGUUGGUGGGGUAACGGCUACCAAGCCGACGAUCAGUAGCCGACCUGAGAGGGUGACCGGCCACAUUGGGACUGAGACACGGCCCAGACUCCUACGGGAGGCAGCAGUGGGGAAUAUUGCACAAUGGAGGAAACUCUGAUGCAGCGACGCCGCGUGAAGGAUGAAGUGUUUCGGUAUGUAAACUUCUAUCAGCAGGGAAGAAAAUGACGGUACCUGACUAAGAAGCCCCGGCUAACUACGUGCCAGCAGCCGCGGUAAUACGUAGGGGGCAAGCGUUAUCCGGAUUUACUGGGUGUAAAGGGAGCGUAGACGGCACGGCAAGCCAGAUGUGAAAGCCCGGGGCUCAACCCCGGGACUGCGUUUGGAACUGCUGAGCUAGAGUGUCGGAGAGGCAAGUGGAAUUCCUAGUGUAGCGGUGAAAUGCGUAGGUAUUAGGAGGAACACCAGUGGCGAAGGCGGCUUGCUGGACGAUGACUGACGUUGAGGCUCGAAAGCGU